AUUGAACGCUGGCGGCAUGCCUAACACAUGCAAGUCGAGCGAGCUGCGGACGGGUGAGUAAUGUCUGGGAAACUGCCUGCUUGAGGGGGGUAACUUCUUGAAACGGUAGCUAAUACCGCCUACCGUCCGAUUUUCCCAGAUGCGAUUAGCUGGUGGGGGGGGUAACGGCUAACCUGGGCGACGAUCCCUAGCUGGUCUGAGAGGAGGACCAGCAACACUGGAACGGGGACAGGGCCCAGAUGCCUACGGGAGGCAGCAGUGGGGAAUAUUGCACAAUGGGCGAAAGCCUGAUGAAGCAAGGCCGCGUGUAUGAAGAAGGCCUUCGGGUUGUAAAGUACUUUCAGCGGGGAGGCGUUACCCGAAGAAGAAGCAACGGCUAACUCCGUGCCAGCAGCCGCGGUAAUUC
Molecule: ribosomal RNA, 406 nt
Filed under: uncultured bacterium
Lineage: Bacteria
Description: partial 16S ribosomal RNA
Rfam family: Bacterial small subunit ribosomal RNA
Source: RNAcentral